RNAcentral lists this long non-coding RNA (1713 nucleotides) under Sus scrofa (pig). Its description in RNAcentral is "lncRNA (ENSSSCG00015018383.1)". The record is from RNAcentral. Lineage: Eukaryota; Metazoa; Chordata; Mammalia; Artiodactyla; Suidae.
CAGGCCUGGGAGGCCAGCCGGGCCUUCUGCUCAGCCCACCACGCCACUCUUCCCCUGCUGAACCAUACCCAGGGCUUCCUGAGCAGAUACCCAGUCACCAAGUACUCCUGGGUAGGGGCCCGGCGAGGGCCCUGGGGCUGGCACUGGAUCGAUGGGACCCCCCUCCUGCCCCAGCUGCUCCCGGAGGAAAACCAGGAUGAGCCGGAUCUUGACUGCGGGGGCCUGGAGGGAGGCAAGCUGGUGGCUUCAGGCUGUGACUCCCCCAGGCCCUGGGUCUGUGCCAAGGGGACCAAGUGACUUGGGUUCUGCCCCCGCUGAGCCGGUUGGGGGCACCAGCCCCCAGGGGAGACCAGAUCAAGAGCUGGAGCAGCCUGUUCCCCGGACCCAGGCCCCCAGGCCUCCCCGCUCUGCUCAGCGGCCCUGCCUCAGCCAACCAGGGAGCAGACUCCGGGCGCAGGAAAAUCACAUCUGCGGCGAAGGAGGCUGGCUGCGGCUGGGUACCCACCGGGUCUCCAGCUGCCCGGGCAGCGUUGUUCUGAGACCUUGGUUUUGGUUUUUGGGGGUUUUUUUGUUAGUUUUUAGCAUUCUGGGUCUCAGUCUCUCCCUCAUUGAAAAUGGCCAUUUUGAGGAGUUCCAUUGUGGCUCAGCAGUAAUGAAACCCAACUAGGAUCCAUGAAGAUACAGGUUUGAUCCCUGGCGUCGCUCAGUGGGUUAAGGAUCUGGCGUGGCCAUGAGCUGUGGUGUAGGUCAUAGGACGCAGCUCAGAUCUGGCGAUGCUGUGGCUGUGGCUGAGGCCAGCAGGUGCAGUUCUGAUUCGACCCCUAGCCUGGGAACAUCCAUAUGCCGCGGAUGCAGCCCUAAAAAGACACAAAACAAAAAGCCAUUGCCCAUUCUCUCACGUACCUACCUGCUUGGUCACAGGAGCACAUGCUUACAGUCACAGAGAAACAGGCUGGACGGUCACAGGUGAUCCCCCCCUGAGUUCUCAUUGGGCCCAUGAAGCGAGUCUCCCACUUUGCGGCAGUGGGAUUUGGCAGCAAUAACACCAACGCUCUAAGUGCCAUUUCCAGGCGGCCAGGCACACCGACAGCGUCCAUGGAGAGAGGAAGGCAGUUCCUUGUCCCUGCCCCGGGAGGUGACAGAGUAAGGCGGAGACUGGCAUGUGGGCGCUGGCGGGGCCGCCGACCAGCUGAGGCCCAAGGCUGGAGAGAUGCAGAGAGGAUGGAGCCGCCUGAGGAGGAGCCAAGGGAGGACCCCUCUCUUGGUUGGCAAGGCCACCGCAACCCUUGGGGUCCCCCGAGUGAGAAAAGACAUCAGAAACGAGAGGAGGUUUGAGGCAGCUCUUCUACCCACAGCCGUGGGCACACCAGCCUGAAGAGGCCUCUCCACGGUGAAGUUCAAUGAAUGGCCUUUGGACUGAAAGGAGCAGCAGCAAGGCGGGGGGACGGUGUGUUGAGUCUGCACCCUGGAGAGACUUCGUUCAAAGACAGGAGACUCCCUGCGUCUUACCUGCCCCGAGCAACUGUCAAGUGCAAACCAGUCUUCCUCUUUAAAGGCAGAGCAGGAGUCCAGACUUAUCUCAGAGAAACCACUCCUGGUCCAUUUAAACUGAGAGUUUGUACAGAAUGUGUGGCCACCUGGGUUGAAAGGGAUGGGGAGGCCUAGGAGCACUUGACAAGCAAUAAAAUCUCAGAAAUACCCUGGUGUUUCUCA